Molecule: unclassified non-coding RNA, 848 nt
Organism: Orbicella faveolata
Lineage: Eukaryota; Metazoa; Cnidaria; Anthozoa; Scleractinia; Merulinidae
Source: RefSeq, a predicted model, not a curated record
CGCAGAUUACAUGUUCCUACUUAUGGAAUUGCAUCUUUAGAAGUGGUGUGUUUAUUGGAAUUUCCAAGUUAAGUCUGAACCAUUUGUGUGAAUAAUUGAACCAACCUCUUCACUCAAGGCAACCAGGUCUCAUUAGAAUACAAACAUAUAUGUUUCCUUUCAAACAGGUGCAACCAUGCUACACAGAUGUAAAGCUUUACUGCAGCAAAGAGUAAGCUUCUGUAGGGCUCUGAGUAAUUCUGCCAAGGGGAGAACUAAGGAGAGACACCCCUAAAGGUGCUCUAAAGGUAUGUGGUAACCUUAUAAGAGGUGAGUGACGAUCCCGCCCUCCUCUUCAGAAUUCAAGAUGCCACCCAUGUUAUGGUUAUGGAUAUUUUUUGGAACCAUGUCCCAACAAAUAAAAAUGUUUUUUAAUGUAAUGUUUUGGGACCAUCAUCCUAUUCUGAGUCACUAUAACUCUUUUAUCAGACAGUAUUCAGACAUACAUUAAAUAUUCAAUAUUUAUGUUAAUCCCAGACCUUAUUACUUCAGAAGCCAAAUUAGAUUGUUUCCAUGUGUCUCAUUAUAGGAAACGCAAAGCGUGAAUUCUAUCAAGGCUCUGGUGUCUGGAAAUGCUAUUGAAAUAGAAUGGAAAGAUGGCCACACAUCCAAAUUCCAUAAUAGUUGGUUACGGUUUUGCUGCCAGUGUGAACAAUGCAGGCAGGCACACAGUGGCCAGAAGGUCUUUGAUGUGCUGUCCAUUCCAGACCCAUUAGAACUCUCAGAUUUCUCAGUUUCUAGUAAGUGAUCAAAAGUGUUUCAAAAGUCAGAAUAAUUUUGUUCAAAUGAGCAAUUCAUGCCCAGAGGUU